AGGCCAAAAAAAAUAUAUGGGUUUCCGGUUUCCCGACCCUACCUAGCUUUUGGACGUCGAAAUCCCGACCCUAAACUUUUUUAUUGGAUCAUGCUUGUAAGUGUUUCCACUUAGAGGAAAAAGUUUGUGGAAAAUUGAAAUUUGAGGCAAUAUUAGGGAAAUUUAUCUUUGGAUGUGGAAGCACUGACUAAACAAAAUGGCGUCCGCUUAUUCGGAAAAUUAAAAAAAAAGUUUAAAAAAAAAGUUAAAACCGACCUACCCUACCUAAGAUUUUACAAGAGGAAACCGGAAACCCACAUAUUUUUUUUUGGCCUCAUAAGAAAUUUCUUGUUGAUCAUUGAUCGGUGUAAACUAAAAUAUUACUAGUCACAUACACAUGUCGGCA
Paramuricea clavata is the source of this 385-nucleotide non-coding RNA. Lineage: Eukaryota; Metazoa; Cnidaria; Anthozoa; Malacalcyonacea; Plexauridae. The record is from the annotation of a GenBank genome assembly.